CAACCAACACAAAAUUUUGAACAAAAAAAAAAUACAACCAACACAAACAAAUAUUUCAAAUUCCUAUCAAUUCUAUUUCCAUUCAUCUUCUCUCCACCAAAGAAUUCAAAAAAAUAAUUAAAGCUUCUACUCUAUCACCUGUUGUUUCUACAUUUUUUUGUUGAAAGAAUUCAAAAGACAAUCAAAGAUUCUACCUAUCACCUCUUGUUUCCAUAUUCUUUUGUUGAAAGACCACCAAAAUUCAAGAAUCGACACUGUCACUCACCAAUCGAUCUUGUGAUUCCAAAUAUCAUUUUUCACAAUGUUCCACUCAAAUUCGUCACAUGAGCUUCAGUCUCAUCCCCUCCAAGCAUCUUUGCCAUCUUUGGAGUCAUGUCUUUGUCCAGCAAUAUAUUUCCCGGUUUUAGAUUUAAGUGAAUGAUCCUAAACCGAGAAGCUUGGUGGAGAUAUACAAGCCCUCGGACAAUAUCAACGGUUAUGUCGAAUCUCUGCUACCAAUUCAGAACGGAGCCCCGAGUUGAGGUUGACUUUUCGUCUCUUGGCUGAUGCACUUUUAUAAUAUAUCUACGUGUGAAUUAAACAUCUCAGACAUAACAUAUGUUAAUUUAAAUAUCGAGAAUUCAGCAAAAAAAAAAAAAACCAAAAUUUUCAAAAUUUACCAAAAAAACACGAAUUUAUGGACUCAACUUUUGUUGACUUUUGGAAAAUUUUAACGUCAUGAACAACACGUACGUUUUGAAAUUCUUAUUUUAAAAAAAAACUACAUCAUUAAACUUCGAACUCGGGUUCUGGGAAUGCAAAAUAAAGAAUUUUACCACUGAACUAGUGGCAACUUUCAAAAAUUAAUGUAAUGUACAUGAUUUUAUAUGUGUACACGGAAUUAAAGAAAAUACCUGCAAUCUACGAAACUAACAAAAUCGAGAGAAAAAUCCCCAAAUCUGGCAAAGAGUACAAAUCGAAAGAAAUUAGUUUCAAUAGAAAAAUCAAUCGAGUAGAUUAAAAUGAGAAACAACGUGAUCUGUUAAAAUCUAUGAAUUGAAGGUUGAAAAGAAAAAAAAAAAUCGAUAUGCUUGCUCUACGCCAAAGUCUUCUUCUCUCGACGUCGGCAAGGUCUGAUUUUGGUAAAGUGGAUAAAGUCUGAUUUUUUUCUUCUUUUAAUUCCGUGUUUUCAUAUAUUAAAUACUACUAUAUUACGUUGAAGUUUGAAAAUUGCCACUCGUUCAGUGGUAAAAUCCUUUCUCAUGCAUGCCCAGAACCCAAGUUCGAACCUUGCUAAUGUAGUUUUUUUUUUAAAUAAAGUUUGUUAUUAUAUUCCAAAGUCAAUAAAAGUUGAGUGUUUAUUUGGUUAGUCCAUAAAUUCGUAUUUUUUUGGUAAAUUUUGAAAAGUUUGGGUUUUUUUGGCUGAAUUAUCUUUAAAUCUCUCACAUACUCCGACAUAACAUAUGUUCUUUUCUUUAACAAAAAAAAACAUAUGUUUUUUUAUUAUUUUAAAUAAAAUAUCUACGUGUGAAUUUAAUUAUCUCAGACACAACAUAUGUUAGUUCGUUCAGACUUUAAUUCUUAAUGCAAGGUUCCUUAGUUCACCCUUUAAUUUUUAACACACUUAUGCUAGUCUUGUGCUCCAUGCGUGGCCAUCCUUCCAUGUAGAGAAAAAGAAGAAAAAAUCAAUUUUAAGAAAACCAAAUCAUCUAUAUAAUAUUGAUAUGUUUUCGUGAUUGGUCACAAUGUCAAAUUAAAUCUCAAAAUCCCUUUUAACUUUUUAAGACAUUUUAGUUAUAUUUUACAUGUUAAUUAUGUUAAUUAGUCUCAUUAAGUCAUUAAUCAUUACUAUAAUAUAUAUUUAAGAACAGAUGGAUAUAAAACUGGAACAAAUAUGUAUUAUGCUUACAAAUCUUUUUUAUCCGCUAUACACAUUAGGCCUGGGCAUAAAAACCAUACCCGAAUACCCAAUCCGGAACCCGACCCGAAAAACAGGGUUUGGGUUGGGUACGGGUUUGUCUUUAAAACCCUAUUGGGUUCUAUUUUCUAAUACCCGUAAGUUCGGGUUAGGAUCGGGUAAUACCCAGUACCUGUUUGGGUACCCAUUAAACCCGAACAUAUAAACAUAUUUAUAAUAUUUAUCAUUAAUAUAAUGCAA
This is a long non-coding RNA of Camelina sativa (false flax), 2137 nucleotides long. RefSeq lists it as uncharacterized. Lineage: Eukaryota; Viridiplantae; Streptophyta; Magnoliopsida; Brassicales; Brassicaceae. The record is from RefSeq and is a predicted model, not a curated record.